AGAGUUUGAUCAUGGCUCAGAGCGAACGCUGGCGGCGUGCUUAACACAUGCAAGUCGAACGCGCAGUUUUCUGUAGCAAUACAGGGAAUGGGCGCGUGGCGAACGGGUGCGUAACACGUGGGUAACCUUCCCUCAUGUGGGGGAUAACCCGCCGAAAGGCGGGCUAAUACCGCAUAACAUUCCGAUGGCCUCGGCUGUUGGAAUCAAAGCCCGCAAGGGCGCAAGAGGAGGGACCCGCGGCCGAUUAGCUUGUUGGCGAGGUAAUGGCUCACCAAGGCAUUGAUCGGUAGCCGGACUGAGAGGUUGGCCGGCCACACUGGAACUGAGACACGGUCCAGACUCCUACGGGAGGCAGCAGUGGGGAAUCUUGCGCAAUGGGGCAAAGCCUGACGCAGCAACGCCGCGUGGGGGAUGAAGCUUCUCGGAGUGUAAACCCCUUUCGACCCGGACGAAGGCCCGCAAGGGCUUGACGGUACGGGUAUAAGAAGCCCCGGCUAACUACGUGCCAGCAGCCGCGGUAAAACGUAGGGGGCCAGCGUUGCUCGGAAUUACUGGGCGUAAAGGGUCCGUAGGCGGUGUGGCAAGUCGGUAGUGAAAUCUCUGGGCUUAACUCAGAGGCUGCUGCCGAAACUGCCGUGCUCGAGUGCGAGAGAGGCGAGUGGAAUUGCAGGUGUAGCGGUGAAAUGCGUAGAUAUCUGCAGGAACAUCCGAGGCGAAAGCGGCUCGCUGGAUCGCAACUGACGCUGAGGGACGAAAGCUAGGGGAGCAAACAGGAUUAGAUACCCUGGUAGUCCUAGCCCUAAACGAUCAGGACUGGGGCGUGAGCCCUGUACGGGGCUCGUGCCGGAGCUAACGCCGUUAAGUCCUGCGCCUGGGGAGUACGGUCGCAAGCUGAAACUCAAAGGAUUUGACGG
Molecule: ribosomal RNA, 914 nt
Filed under: uncultured bacterium
Lineage: Bacteria
Description: bacterial SSU rRNA
Rfam family: Bacterial small subunit ribosomal RNA
Source: RNAcentral